This is a small RNA of Serratia fonticola, 147 nucleotides long. The record is from Rfam. Lineage: Bacteria; Pseudomonadati; Pseudomonadota; Gammaproteobacteria; Enterobacterales; Yersiniaceae.
AGAUAAAAAAAGACCGAGUACGAUUCCUAUACUCGGUCUAGGGAAAGGGCUCUUGGGAGAGAGCCGUGCGCUAAAAGUUGGCAUUUAUGCAAGGUUUGUUCAACCGUGCAUUCUAAGAAUAGUCUAAGGUGCAAGUUUUGCCAGCCC